This 201-nucleotide ribosomal RNA is filed under the name Triticum aestivum (bread wheat). RNAcentral describes it as "partial small subunit ribosomal RNA". The record is from RNAcentral. Lineage: Eukaryota; Viridiplantae; Streptophyta; Magnoliopsida; Poales; Poaceae.
AUGGGCCCGCUUCCAAGUGUGUCUGCGUGCCGGCCACCCACGCCGGGUCCUUCAAGUGACGCUUCCACCGCACCAACUCCCAGGGCCACGGCCACGGCCAGGGCCAGGAAAGUCGUCCUUCUUCGCCCCCUUCACCGACCGCGGCCAACGCGGUGCCGCGGCAGCCGUCCUCACCGUCCUCUUCCUCCGGCACCGUUGUGA